UGGGGAAUUUUGGACAAUGGGCGAAAGCCUGAUCCAGCAAUGCCGCGUGUGUGAAGAAGGCCUUCGGGUUGUAAAGCACUUUUGUCCGGAAAGAAAUCCUUGGCUCUAAUACAGUCGGGGGAUGACGGUACCGGAAGAAUAAGCACCGGCUAACUACGUGCCAGCAGCCGCGGUAAUACGUAGGGUGCAAGCGUUAAUCGGAAUUACUGGGCGUAAAGCGUGCGCAGGCGGUUUGCUAAGACCGAUGUGAAAUCCCCGGGCUCAACCUGGGAACUGCAUUGGUGACUGGCAGGCUAGAGUAUGGCAGAGGGGGGUAGAUUCCACGUGUAGCAGUGAAAUGCGUAGAGAUGUGGAGGAAUACCGAUGGCGAAGGCAGCCCCCUGGGCCAAUACUGACGCUCAUGCACGAAAGCGUGGGGGAGCAAACAGGAUUAGAUACCCCUGGGUAGUCCACGCCCUAAACGAUGUCAACUAGUUGUUGGGGGAUUCAUUUCCUUAGUAACGUAGCUAACGCGUGAAGUUGACCGCCUGGGGGAGUACGGUCGCAAGAUUAAAACUCAAAGGAAUUGAC
RNAcentral lists this ribosomal RNA (570 nucleotides) under uncultured bacterium. Its description in RNAcentral is "partial 16S ribosomal RNA". It matches the Rfam family "Bacterial small subunit ribosomal RNA", at positions 355 to 914 of the family's 1533-position model. The record is from RNAcentral.